ACGUAUGGUGCAAGCGUUAUCCGGAUUUACUGGGUGUAAAGGGUGCGUAGGUGGUGAGACAAGUCUGAAGUGAAAAUCCGGGGCUUAACCCCGGAACUGCUUUGAAAACUGCCUGACUAGAGUACAGGAGAGGUAAGUGGAAUUCCUAGUGUAGCGGUGAAAUGCGUAGAUAUUAGGAGGAACACCAGUGGCGAAGGCGACUUACUGGACUGCUACUGACACUGAGGCACGAAAGCGUGGGGAGCAAACAG
RNAcentral lists this ribosomal RNA (251 nucleotides) under uncultured bacterium. RNAcentral describes it as "partial 16S ribosomal RNA". It matches the Rfam family "Bacterial small subunit ribosomal RNA", at positions 525 to 775 of the family's 1533-position model. The record is from RNAcentral.